Molecule: ribosomal RNA, 465 nt
Filed under: uncultured bacterium
Lineage: Bacteria
Description: partial 16S ribosomal RNA
Rfam family: Bacterial small subunit ribosomal RNA
Source: RNAcentral
GACGAACGCUGGCGGCGUGCUUAACACAUGCAAGUCGAACGGAAAGGCCCUGCUUGCAGGGCACUCGAGUGGCGAACGGGUGAGUAACACGCGGGUGAUCUGCCCUGCACUUCGGGAUAAGCCUGGGAAACUGGCCCUAAUACCGGACAGGUGCUAUUUUUAGUGUGAUGGUUGGAAAGUUUUUUCGGUGUAGGAUGAGCUCUCGGCCUAUCAGCUUGCUGGUGGGGUAAUGGCCUACCAAGGCGGCGACGGGUAGCCGGCCUGAGAGGGUGGACGGCCGCAUUGGGGCUUGGAUACGGCCCAGACUCCUACGGGAGGCAGCAGGGGGGAAUAUUGCCCAAUGGGCGCCGGCCUGAUGCAGAGACGCCGCGUGGGGGAUAACGGCCUUCGGGUUGUAAACUCCUUUCGCUAGGGACGAAGCUUUUUGUGACGGUACCUAGAUAAGAAGCACCGGCUAACUACGUG